Molecule: long non-coding RNA, 3359 nt
Filed under: Malus domestica (apple)
Lineage: Eukaryota; Viridiplantae; Streptophyta; Magnoliopsida; Rosales; Rosaceae
Description: long non-coding RNA (MDOM_LNC003429)
Source: RNAcentral
UCGAAAGUUUAUUUAUUUAUUUAUUUUUAAUUAGAGAUAUGUUGUGAUUACAUGACACACCCCGACCUAAAAUCAAGGCAUGUUGGCCGUCAUGUGAGAGUGACGUAGCCAUGUGCACAGUGCAUAAUCAAUAAGGAUAUGAAAUAUACGAAUAAAUAAGAACCGAAAGCUAAUUAAUGUGCACUAAUAAGCAGGAAGUGCUAGGAAUGAGAUACAAGUGUAAAUACACCUAAUCAGAGCAUAGAAGUCUAGGUGCAGACCAGUAGGACAAGUACUAGUUAUACAGUACCAGAAGAAGUCCUACGAAUAUUAUACUUUGUCAUAACUGCCAAUAUCCACAAAUGCCACCAUCAGUAAGUCUACCUAAAACCUGGAGGGGCGCAAAACAGAAAGUGUGAGUAGGUAAAAACAAAACUUUUCAAAAUCAUUUCAUUUACCAAAUGCAAAGUGUGUGAAAAUUUUUUAUUUUUGUUUUUUGAAAUAGAAGGAGAGAGGAAGAGAGUGAUAAAGAAUGUGGGAGUGUGAAGUUUUUAUUUUUUAUUUUUAAUUAGAGAUAUGUUAUGAUUACAUGUAAGUGAGGUUUUGAAGAGAAAAAAAAUAGCAAAAUUUGGUUGUGUGAAAUUACAUUUUUGCCUCAUAUUUCUUAUUCAUGUUCUGUUUUAAUUAGAGGGUUAAAUUGGUAAUUUUGGUUGACAAUAAAUGUUUUAUUAAUUGGUAAAGAUUAUGUGUCACUAAUAAGAAACAAAAGAGUUAAUCGACAUUUAAUUUAUAAUUCAGUCAUCUACAUAUACUUGAUGCAUAUGAUUAAAUGGUCUCUAAUUUUAUUGAUUUUCUGCCUAAAAUGAUAUUUAAAUAAUAACCAAGCCAAUGAUUAAUGUCAACUAUUAGUAGGCCAAAACAGGUUAAUCAGAACUAGAUUAUAAUACGGUGUGCGCGAAAUAGGAGAUGAAUUUUUAUGUAAUGAAUUAUUGUUAUUGUAGUGUCUUAAGCCAAUAAUAUAAAGUCAUAUGAAGCUAAUUGCCUAAAACAUUGUCAUGAUAAGACACCUAUUUCAUUAAUUUUUUUUUUGUAUAUGUUGGAGAAUAGAAUUCUACAUCGGUCAUAUGACAAAAUAAUAUACAAUUAAUAUUUUAGAAUUUCUACCCGUAAUAUCAUUGAAACCUUUUGUAAUAAACCCAACGCUUGAUAAUAAAUCAAGUUAGAAUAAUAUUGGUGAUGGAGAAAUGUUAGAGCAGUUAUACCAUGGCCUAUUGCCCGAUGGACUGGCUCUCAAACAGGACCAAAGGGCCCGAGUGGGGAGGUCCAACUUGUGCUAGUGAUGGAGCCCGAGUGGGCUCGAGGGAGAGGCCCGGCAGGAGUUGCCAGCCCGAGAGCCCGAAGGUUACGUGACGCAAGGCUGACGUCUGGGCGACGUUAGCCAUCAUCUCCUCUGCAUUUCUGCAUUUCUGGCCUCCAUAUACUCCCGCAGACCCGGCUUUCCCUUUCACUCUCACUUCACACAACGCUGUCCUCAUCGCAUAAAUCUCGAGCGUCGGGAAUAAUCUCAAUUCGAUUGACACCAAGAUCUUUAUCCCCUCGAUUAACCCGUUCGCUCGAAUUUCAAGAACCCAAUUUCUGCAUCAUCAGCAUAAGCAGAGAUGGUGGGCCAGUGUGAGAAGAAGGUGGAGAAGUUUCAGACGGAGGAGGAAGUGGCGGUGCGUCUGGCGAAGUUUCAAAAGGAAGUGGAAGGUGGAGAAGUUUCAGACAAAGGAAGAAGUGGAGAAGUUUCCAAAGGAAAAGAUAAAUUAAUAAUAUAAUAUUAAUUUGUACAAAGUAAAUAAUAUAAUAUUAAUUAUAAAUUAAAACAUAAUAAUAUUUUAUUAACUAUUACCAGGGCUAUUCAAUGUAUCGGUGGAGAUGCAAAAGAUAAUUAUUGUUUAUUAAUGGCAGUUACUGUUCACUAGGUGGAUUAAAUAGUGAAUAGCCUGGGAUAACCUUUGCAACGGUGGAGUUUCUCUUGAGGGAAGUCUCUUAAAAGUUGGACUUUUAUAAACUAUCUGUCCCCUCACAUUAACGUCAAUUCCCUUAGCAAUAUUAUAAAAUAUUGUGUCACAAAUAUUCUUAACUUUCAUAAUUUUCUUUGUUUUUUAACACUCCAGCGUCUAAAUCUAUGUAUUGAUUAGGGGGAAUAGAGUGUUUGUAUCGUUUGGAAGCUAAUUUUUGUAGCAUCUUGGGGGCCCCACCAUCGUGUUUGGCCUUUUGUGCGUUAGGUCAACAUCAUCGAGGAACAGCGUUGGCUUCUUCUGUCAAUCUCGUCAAUCCCACUAAGUUAGAGAGAGAGAGAGAGAGAGAGAGAGAGAGAGAGAGAGAGAGGUGAAUUAUUAUUUCAAUUUUUGUUGAUAAUUCCAAUGGAUUUAGAUUUUUAUUAUUCGGAAUUCGACAUAUUUAAAUUGUAUUAACGAAAUUAUGUCGUCAAAGUCUUAAGAUAAUUGAUUGAAUCUCGAUGAAUGGAGUUCAUGAUUUUGAGUCUUACUCUUCAUUAUAUAUAAAUCAACACAUUAAUCAUCUUCAUUAACGGUGAAUUAUUCUAUCAAUUUGCCUAACGAGCACAUCUCAAAUUUGAGUAACAUUUGCUAAAAGUUGAGAACAAUAUAUAAUUGUGAGGUUUUAUAUUUUAUAUAACUUAUCUCAUCAUCACUUUUUAAAAAAGAAGACCAGCUGGUGACUUCAUCAAGACACUCCAAUAUUUUGAGGGGCAAUAAGACUCGUAUAGGCAUUUCAGCCUCUCUCUAGCAAUCAUUGUGUGAUUCAUCAGCUCAAAAAUCGAACCUAUGACGCGUUAUGUGCAAUACGAACCUGAAAUUCAUUGCUAACUACCAAUACGUAACUUUGUUGUAAGUGUACUUAUUAUGAUGGUACGUAACUUGUUGUAAGUGUGUUAUCUCGAUAUAAAAAUGUUAUGCAAGUAUUUUGACAUAUAUUAAUCAACUUCUUGUGUGGCAUGCCUCUAUUUGUGUUAAUUAGAUGUUAAUCAUGGGCCGGGUUCAAUUUGAAUUUCGAACUCCACAAACCUAGCUCAUACUAAAUUUAAAGGAAAACUAAUGAAAAUUACUUGAAAACUUUGAAUUUUAAUGAUAAGGACAAAAUAAAGGGUAAAGUGAAUAGUAUCAGGUUUGACUUUUUAGUGUAAAAAUGUGGUUUUUCGUUAAAGUGAAUAGUACCGUAGACUUUUCGUUAAAACUCUCUAAAUUUAAUUGAAUUUUUAUCCUAAAUAGGAAUAGUUACCCGUUCCUUGUAGGUAGAGGAACAAAGAGAAAGACCUAUUGAAUGUUUUUAUUUAAUUUUUGGUCAAUCUACACGAGAGCAUGUUUGAGUCAAUG